GAUGAACGCUAGCUACAGGCUUAACACAUGCAAGUCGAGGGGAAACGAUAUUGGAAGCUUGCUUCCGAUAGGCGUCGACCGGCGCACGGGUGGGUAACGCGUAUCCAACCUGCCCAUCACUUGGGGAUAACCUUGCGAAAGUAGACUAAUACCCAAUGAUAUCUCUAGAAGACAUCUGAAAUGGAUUAAAGAUUUAUCGGUGAUGGAUGGGGAUGCGUCUGAGUAGCUUGUUGGCGGGGUUACGGCCAACCAAGGCGCCGAUCAGUAGGGGUUCUGCGUGGAAGGUCCCCCACAUUGGAACUGAUACACGGUCCAAACUCCUACGGGAGGCAGCAGUGAGGAGUAUUGGUCAAUGGGCGAGAGCCUGAACCAGCCAAGUAGCGUGCAGGAUGACGGCCCUAUGGGUUGUAAACUGCUUUUAUAAGGGAAUAAAGUGGGAGUCGUGACUCCUUUUGCAUGUACCUUAUGAAUAAGGACCGGCUAAUUCCGUGCCAGCCGCCGCAGUAA
Molecule: ribosomal RNA, 507 nt
Filed under: uncultured bacterium
Lineage: Bacteria
Description: partial 16S ribosomal RNA
Rfam family: Bacterial small subunit ribosomal RNA
Source: RNAcentral